CUGCUCACUUCGGCAGCACAUAUACUAAAAUUGGAACAAUACAGAAAAGAUUAGCACGGCCUCUGCACAAGGACGACAGCAAAUUUGUGACUGUUCCAUAUUAAA
Molecule: small nuclear RNA, 105 nt
Filed under: Aotus nancymaae (Ma's night monkey)
Lineage: Eukaryota; Metazoa; Chordata; Mammalia; Primates; Aotidae
Source: RNAcentral